UACGUAGGGUGCGAGCGUUUGUCCGGAAUUACUGGGCGUAAAGAGCUCGUAGGUGGUUUGUCGCGUUGUUCGUGAAAACUCACAGCUUAACUGUGGGCGUGCGGGCGAUACGGGCAGACUGGAGUACUGCAGGGGAGACUGGAAUUCCUGGUGUAGCGGUGGAAUGCGCAGAUAUCAGGAGGAACACCGGUGGCGAAGGCGGGUCUCUGGGCCGAUACUGACGCUGAGGAGCGAAAGCGUGGGGAGCAAACAGG
This 254-nucleotide ribosomal RNA is filed under the name uncultured bacterium. RNAcentral describes it as "partial 16S ribosomal RNA". It matches the Rfam family "Bacterial small subunit ribosomal RNA", at positions 524 to 776 of the family's 1533-position model. The record is from RNAcentral.